GUUUUGCAAGGUGCUUCGGCCUUGCCUUGCCUUGCUUGAGAGCCUUUUGAAAACAUUGNNNNNNNNNNNNNNNNNNNNUUGCCUUGCCUUGCCUUGCCUUGCUUGAGAGCCUUUUGAAAACAUUGCAUGGUAGUUACAAAUUUUGUUAUUCCUUUGUACAUCACACACACACACACACACACACACGUUGUGAAUGUAGUUGAGUUUUUGCGUUGUAUUCUGGUGGUUCAGAAAAGUGCUUGGCUUUGGGUUGCUGCAUAAGUACAAUGAUUAAUGGUUUCACCAGUAUCAGGUAUGUCAAGGAAAUACUUGCAAAUUAACCCAAUGUUUGGCCCAUCGUGACCGAGAUCAGGCCUAGGUUUAUGUAACGUCACUAAACACCAAAAUAGUUUUCCAGAUAUUUCAGAAGUGGAUUUUGCACAUGAUUUAUGACUCCUAAAAGUUAAAACAACAAGCCAGGGUCUUCUGAAGUAGAAGAAAAGGUAGAGUGGCUGUAUAAGGUGGUCAUCCUUUUUAGGUGGAAACAAAAGUGAAUUAGGAGAGAAGCAAUGAUUUAAAAAGUGCUAGGC
This 569-nucleotide long non-coding RNA is filed under the name Musa acuminata (dwarf banana). RNAcentral describes it as "long non-coding RNA (MACU_LNC003254)". The record is from RNAcentral. Lineage: Eukaryota; Viridiplantae; Streptophyta; Magnoliopsida; Zingiberales; Musaceae.